UAUCUCCUACGGGACGCAGCAGUGGGGGAUAUUGCACAAUGGGGGAAACCCUGAUGCAGCGACGCCGCGUGGGCGAAGAAGUAUUUCGGUAUGUAAAGCCCUAUCAGCAGGGAAGAAGAAAUGACGGUACCUGAGUAAGAAGCACCGGCUAAAUACGUGCUAGCAGCCGCGGUAAUACGUAUGGUGCAAGCGUUAUCCGGAUUUACUGGGUGUAAAGGGAGCGCAGGCGGCGCGGCAAGCCUGAUGUGAAAGCCCGCGGCCCAACCGCGGGACUGCCUUGGGAACUACCGGGCUGGAGUGCCGGG
RNAcentral lists this ribosomal RNA (305 nucleotides) under uncultured bacterium. RNAcentral's name for it is "bacterial SSU rRNA". It matches the Rfam family "Bacterial small subunit ribosomal RNA", at positions 333 to 653 of the family's 1533-position model. The record is from RNAcentral.